This is a non-coding RNA of Coturnix japonica (Japanese quail), 9458 nucleotides long. The record is from RefSeq and is a predicted model, not a curated record. NCBI's taxonomy places the organism in Eukaryota, Metazoa, Chordata, Aves, Galliformes, Phasianidae.
GUGCUGAGGCGAUGCGGGGAUGGGGAGUGGGAUUGAGGGGCUUAAUCGGAGCUCAGGGCAGGGCAGAGCAGGGCACACUGCGCGCCCCGGGCGGGAGGGAUGGAGCUAAUCUCAGUGCGGCUUUGCGGCCGCCCUCAGCCGUCCUUCGCCCGCCGAGCGCUGAGGAGAAGCGGGGGGUGGGCGCCCACCACACACACUGCGCUAAGAAACACUGUUCCGAAAGAAAUAACUCCGAUGUGCAAUCGGCUCCACUAGGAGCAGGCAAGCAGGGUAUUCCUUGUUCCUGUGUUCAGGAAACGGGCUAAGCGUAGCUCUGGAUUUGUUUCUUAACGCUUUUGUUCCGCCCUCCUGUUGGACGGAGACGUGAAGUAGUAUCGGGUUAGUGUCUUUUCCCGGGCUAAAGGAAAGUUUAGCAGUGAAUUAGUAGGAGUCCCUUUGGGAAUCAGAGCUUUCUUUCUGUUAGAGCAACCAAAGCAUAGAGAAAUAGCGUCAGCCUUUUAGUAUGGCACAAUAUAUGAUGGUUGUGUACAUCAGGGUGUACAUAUAGGCAGAAAGCCUCUGUCUGAAUAUAGGUUGGUGUUAUUCCUUUUCAAUAGAUCCAUAUAGACACAAAGCCACCUGGUUUAUCAUGGUUUUCUUGUAAAACAUGGUUAGGGUGUUCCCCAGCCCUGUGCACUUAACAUCCAUUUAUCCUUCCUCUUAGGUUUUUCUGUUCUGAUUGAUACAGCCUCAAUCUUUCCAGAGCUUUUAAGAAGAGGAACUCCAUUCUCCACAGUGCAGUAGUUUUUUUUUUUGUUGUUGUUUUAAUUCAGUUUCCCUUUGAUCUAAUGCAAUGCAUAAUUAAAUUGCGUGGUCUGAAUGAAAACUCCACCAUUACGUGUGCCCUUUUAACUCGCUCUUUCCUGUGGUUUUGUAAUGUCACUUCACAGUAGUGUUUCCAGUGAGUGCAAUGAAAAGGACUGUGUUUGUUUUCUACUUGUUUUCUUUAAUUAUUAGGUGAAAAUAAUGACUAUAUCUCUGUUGAACUCAAUGACGUGCAAUGAUUUUUCACGUUCAGGCAAUCUUAGUCUCGUGUUAAUGAACAAGUUCCCAUACCAUGUGUAUGGACCAGACAGAGAGAGGCUUGUUGUAAGAGACAAAUUAUGAUCUGGAACUUGAGUUGAACAACUGAGACAAGUCUAUUGAAGACCUUCUGUGCAGAGGAGUGUGUUUAUUGUUACUCUUGUGGCUGAGGUGUGCACAGGCAUUGGAUUAACCCUUUCUCUUCUUGUAACUUAACACAUACAUCUUCAGUCCUAGACAGGAGCCAUCUGUCUUGCAAUUCAGCAAUAUCUUUCCUUGUCUACCAAAAUAAAUCUGUCCUUCUGUCCUUGGUAGCUUUCCUUUUCCACCAGCCCUCUCCAUCAUGUCAUUUUUUAUUCUUAUCUUGUAUAUAUAUUUUUUUUCCCUUUCCCUCAAAGACCUCAAGAACCUUCUCUCCCACUGGCAGUUCUUUGGCAAAAAUGUCUGUUGUCCUGUUGCAUAUCCAGGCUAGUAUUAUGCAAUCUUCUGGCACUAGCUUUCAUGUAUCUUGUAUUUAUAAAUGCUUAUCUAUCAUCUCCCUAAUCUGCCUAUCCCUCUUUUAAUAUGUCUGUAUUCUGUAGGCCCUCUUUCCUGGCUCCUGUAUUUCCCAGCCAGAAUUCUCCUGGUUAAGCUGCCUUUGGAGUGCUUUCGAAUACCUCUGAGGUGUAAAGUUUUCCUCUCAGGUGCCUGAUGCUGCAAUGCCCAUGUGAAAGCAUCGUUUCACCUGUGUUGCACAAUUCAUGAGUUGCUGCAAAUACUUGUAGAGAUCUCAGUCCUGCCUUUCAUUUGACCCAUGGCAAGAGCUCAGGGAGAACAGACUCUUGUCCCACCAAUUCUUCUUUUCACAAGAGGCUUAACUGGCUCCAGUUUACUCAUUUAGAACAGGAAGAUUACAGACUUUGUAUGUUGGUAAAGCAGAUGUGUGGCCAGAAUUUAGUCAAAAAAGAAAGGAGAAAAACUGAAAAGGAAUGAAUGUCCACCAGCCUGGCACACAGCAAGGAAUUAUCCCAGGAGACUGUACCACAGUUAAGAAAGUAAGCAGCUGUUCCUUCUACCGUACCAAAACUGCUCUUCAGUUUAGCCAUCAAAUCGAUUUGCGGUGCCCAAGAUGCAAAUGCAUUUGCUGACAGCUCAUCCGAGACGUCUGCCAAGCGCUCAGCAGGUGUCAAAGAGUUUCAGGACAGGAGUCAUGUAAGUGUGGAACUCAGCUGUCAGCUCUGAAAACCAAGUCCUGGUCUCAGUCUGAGCUGUCAGACAUAUGUCAGGAGACAGAACAGCACAUACAACAUCCUUGCUGGGGGAGUUUGCUAACCCUACUGCUAACAUCAUGGAAGAAGAAAGUGCAACAAAGAUGAUUCUUACUUUCAGUAUUCCCGUGGAGGUGGCUUGCAUGAGAUCUGUCUCACUGUCUCCAGAAAGGAUAACGUCUCAAAAGCUGAAUCUCAUGGUAAAAGCAGCUAUGACAACUGCCUGCAAGAGGACUCUGCUGUCCAGAUGGAAAUAAGAGAUCUUCACUCAAUCCAGUCUGCGGUACAGAGAUGAGAAUAGAGGAGAACCACAAGGACACAAUACAAUCCCAUCCUCUCCAAACUGAGCCAUCCCUAAGCAAAACUAUAAAAGCCACAAGGAACAACAUUUAGAAUCUGUUUCUUUUUCUACAAUGAAGAAAAAAUAAAAGAACAAAAGACACUUGGGCAACAAAAUUAGCCCAGAGACCAAUGGUCUUGGCUGUGGUUUAAAUUAUAUAUGAACAUAAGUAAAUACUAAGCGUUCUGGAAAAUGCCUUUUUAAAAUUCAAAACAAUGUAAGUGCAGUAACAACUCUCCGUAUUGUUUUAAAGAACACUGCUGUAGUCUUAAAUGCUUUUAGACCUGUGCCCUAAAUGAGCUGUCGAUGAGUGUUAGUUAAAAUAUUCAAAAAGUUGUUGCCAUUUAAUGAGAUAGGAGCCAAAGCUGAGCCUGCCUUCCCGUAAACGAUAACUUUUAAUGCUGUUAAUGAAGUCAUGUUUUGCUAAUGCAUUCAAUAAUUCUCUCGGAGCAGGAACCGUAGCUUUCUGGAAUUCAGUCUAUAUUGUGGUGUCAUCCUUUUUGAUUCUCAGAGCUGCUUCUAAGUUGUAGAGUAGCCAUUAAGCUUAACAGCAAUAAGGGCUUUUGGAAAGUCAGUAAAGCUGUAUGCUGGAGAUGAUUACCAAAGCCUUUAUUACUUGAAUGCUUAGAAAUAGAGAAGCACUGCAAGCUCUAAAUCCCACAAAAGCUGAUUAUUUUCCACUUGAGCUUCAUAUACAUUGAUAAAAUGAUGCAUAUGAAAAGUAAAAAUGGAGUUGCAAAAAACAGGAUUUCUGAAAACACUGACCAGAGCAGGGUGUCUUUAUUCAACAAUCUAUUUAUCAGUUCUGAUCUACCUGAAGUCUUUACUUUAAAAAUAUAUAUUAAAAAAAAUCAGUGCAGCAAGCCUGAAAUCAUCAUAAUAACUUACAUUGUGCAGGCUUUUAUUCUCUAGUACAAACAUUGAGGCCGCAAUAGAAUACAGCUGUAUUUGAGAUAGCAAUCAGUGAGCAAACAGCAGAGCGAUACAAAGACAAGAUUUCAUCCAGAGAAACCACCAUUUCAGAAGGAGAUAAAGGAAGAAGUUUGUUACCCAUUCACAGUGGACAAAUUCUUUCUGAAUUGACUGUUUAAUGUCGAAUAAUGGAAGGAUGAAGAACUGAUCCCUCUAGAACAGAAAGCUGGGAUUCCAGUGAAUUUAUGAGCUCAUUACAUCCAGAAAUGAAGAGAAAAUGAGUCUGAUGUGCACCAAUAAACAGAACUUCUGCAGGUAAAGUAAUAAGUAUUUAUUAACUACUAAUUACCCAGUAGUUGAAGUCCCCAAGUCACUUUCCAGUAAGAUAAAUGGGAAGAAAUACAAAUCCUUUGCCAUUGUAUUAUUAUAUUAUUCUCCCACAAUGAAGUGAUCGAUGGACACAUUCAGAGACUUUACAAAUUAAAAAUGAUUCAGUCUUGCAAAAAUUAAUACAUAAAUAAAUAACUAGAAAUUCACCUAAUCAACGAUAAAAACCACUCAAACCACUUCUCAAACUUGGAUGACGUUACAGAAUACGAUGAGCCCAACUCUUCCAGUAGAACAAACAAGAGUGACUGGAUUGCCCAAGAGAGACCCAGAGAAAUCAAAGACUAGGCAGGAAGUCAUAGCUCCAGAGAGCACACUGUGUUGAUAUCAAAAAUAAGAACCAAAAUCCGUAACCCUAAAGAUAGAAAGAAAGGAUGUUUGGAAAUUGUAAUGCAGAAGAAAGAAAAUCGCACCCAGCACAAAUAUCAGUGGAGACUGCCUUCCUUUUGGAAGGAGCCAAACAUACCCAAGAGCUGGUAGAAUUCCUGCUCAGCCAUGCAGAAGAGGAGAUGCAGUGAGAGGAGACAGAGGGGCAGUGGAGAUGCUAAUGCUAACAGGCAGUGGGAAGAUCAAAAUCAGAUUGCUCUGGGUGGUGAAACAUCUCACAGCAUACCAGCCCAAACUGGAAACUCUCCCAGGCAUAACCCUCACAUCUCAGUGCACCAACCGGGAACAGCUUCAGCUAAGGUGGUUGUGGCCAUUUUUCCUUCUGGGAAUACCAAAGUGAUGUACACAGCACUGAUUUACACUAAGAAAUCACUACCUAAGAAGGGCUUUCUAAUUCUUUCCCAGCAAGCAGUCCACCCCAUCUCUUCUCUCUUCCUGAACUGAAAGAAUCCAAAUGUUUUUCUUUUCUCUGUUUGGAGGGAAAUUGGAUAAGGAAAAAAACACUGUGUCACAGCUAUUAUGUCUAAGCACGUAAGUGCAGAUCAUAGCCUCCUACUUUUCAGGUAGGAUUUGAAGCUUGAAGUUAUACCAUCAACUGUAGCGUAACUCAAGUGCAUUGUGUAAGCAGAGACGUUGGGCUCCAGUGUUGCAGAAGAAAGAUCAGAGCUUCCAGCCCUGUAAAAUAUCAUUUGAUACGCGCACUGAGUAAAUAUCACACCAUGUCUCAGCUGGCUGAGUUGCUAACGUGGAACAUAUUGCACUAAAAGAAGUGACAGCAAAAUACAGACUGCUGGAGACAGGUAGCCUCAUCUGGGUGAUUUCACCAGCUGAAGCAAAAUUAAAUGCGUCCAACCAAAGGAAAAUUCACCGAACAAAGGGAGUUGCCAAACCUUCUGCUGAAGGUAGGUAAGUUUAUUUCUUACUGUUUCCAGGCUUCCAUUGCUUCUCCUUUCAGACUGCAGUACCUGGCAUCUACUAAGUAGGCCAAAGCACAAGCACAGUGCUAAUCCUGAUAAAUGCUGAACGUGUAACAAGGAUAUGCAACAUCUCAUCCUUUACUAACCCUGUUUCAUUUCCAUUUUGUUUCCCCUUUCUUUCCUUCAUUUAUAUCAUCUUGAUUUCUAUCCCAUGGCCCUGUUCAGCUGUUGAAGACUUCUCUCUGUCCUCAAUAGAUUUUUCUGAUGUGGAAGAAUCUUUCAACUGCAGAGCAAAACCUGUGGAUUGCUUUGUUCUAUGGGGAGUUGUUUCUGAUGUGUCACCAGUGUGCUGCUGUAGAGCGAUGUAUCAUCUUUCUGAGAACUCAGAGUGGCAGCACAUACACAUACAAACUAAAACAUUAAUGUCUUCUCACCCGUCUUCUAACAGGCACUGAAAAACUUAGACCUUACACAAGAUUUGAGCACUCACAAGGGCUCAGAGCCUUCAGUAGUGCAAAGCUGGCCUUUUUAAAAAGAAAAUGGUGGGAGAUAGGAUUCCCAGUUGGUGCUCAUAUUCAGAAUUUUAGCUUGAGUUGCAAUCAAAAUGGUUCGACAUGAAAAACAACACGAUCUUGAAGCUACAAACGCCUUAUAUUUAGGUUAAGUGCCAGAAAAGCCAUUCAGGUGGUUGACCAGACAGCUAUGUAUCUUAGCUAAUUAAGGUUCUUAUGCAAGAUUUUGUCUGCUUCCCAGGAUCUUAAAUUGCAACAAUGCUAGUAGAUAUAUCUGUAUUAUAUGAUACAUCACCAUUUUCUGAGCAAUUGGAGUCUAUCAUCAAACAUUAUGUAUGUAUCAGUAUUAAAAAUAGGACAAAGCUUAUUUUUAACAAAGAUUGGCACGUUCCUACCUAAAUGCUAGUGGAGAGACUACUACAAUCUGUAUAUCCAUUUCAGGCAUGAUUCUUCAAAUGACAAUAUCAAGGGGAGCUCCACAGCAGGAACAAAGCCAGAAUAUGCAUUGGAGAUCCCUGCUUUUGAUUAAGAUUCUCUUAGCGGUCCAGAAAGUAACUUUAUCCCUUCUAACUGAAUGAAUCUUUUACAAUAUGAAUAAGUUGAAAUUUAAUAUAAGUGACUUCGAACUUGAGCUAGCCUGAUGAAACAUGAAGCACCUAUCAGUUUAAGAACUCAGAAGGCAUUUCAAUGCAUUCAACUGUACUAAUAAUCUCCAGCACUUCUUGCUGAACACUUCCAGUAGAAGUGCUUCUUGUACAAAUGAAUGAUGCCUUUCAAAAGGUUGAAGGCUUGUUCAAAAUUGCCUUCAAGUGCACGGUAUGAAUUUCUUCUGCUUUUUAGUACAUUGGCUCCCUCUUCUGUUCAUUUGCUGUAAGCAACAAAGCGACCAAUUACACAUGCCAGCACCUAAAGUGAUUGAUUUUGGGAAGCGAUAUCCAAAGGCUCACAAGAAAAGAUUAUUUCCAGGUAUCCUCAUGGAUUUUUCAGAAAAUUCAAAAAAGACAUUGAAAUUAAAAGCACCAGGGGUAAAAGCACCAGGCUCUUGAGGCAACCAGUUACACAGAGGUGACACCAAUGAGAUACUUUGAAUUUGCCAGACAUAGUGCAUUUUUCCUGUUUGUCUGGAAGCACUACAUAUCAGGUAAAGCAGAGCCAAAUUACUGCUCAGCUCUCACACUGCAGCUCGCCUUAAAUGAGUCCUGACACAGUGCAGCUAAAAGCCAUGUAAAAUCCUAGCUGCUUGUUAGCCCUAAUAAAAACUGAGUCAAAGAUCAAUAGAAGUCAAUGGAAGACCAAUUAAUAACCGUCAGACAUGUUAAAAGAAAUUGCCAUCAGUCACAAGUGACUGAGGUCAGUAAAUUUCUGUAGGGUACCAUAAGGAUGAGAACACUCUUCAGUGUUUCUGUUCAACAGAUUUUGGGUGCUUAUGACCCAAAGACCAUCAGUGUGGUGAGAUGAGGGCAACGCAGUCUGACAGAUAAAAGCAUGUUUCAAGAUAACGAGGUGGGAAAAAAACAUAUCCAUAAAGUGUGUGAUUCUGAUAAUAUGAAAGCAGGGGUUCACAUCGCCUCAUCAAACAAACACAGGCCCACAGCAGAAAGCUGCAGCAAAUACUGUUAAUGAGAUGUAGAACACCUUGUGUUUUGAUUUCUGAUCUCCGCUGCCAGGUCAAUUUUUAUGUAAGACUGUUUAAAAUUAAAUCCAUAAACCAUCUGUAAAGCACACAACUUCUUCCUUGCUCCGAGGUAUGUGUUUUGAACACUGUGCUAGUUAAGACCCCACUGCUUGUUUUCUUUCCAGUUCUGCUUUUCCAUGAAGACAGCAGCAAAAGAAGCAGAGAACACUUUUGUUCCGGCACGUGUUCACCUUGGUGAUCAAAACUGCAUUCUAGCAAUUUAAGGAUGUCAGUUCUCAUCCUGUCACCAGUGCAAAUGUAAUCCAAGUCUCCCACUUCUGGUGAAACCCCUAAGAAAUUAUUUGAAAAGCAACCAUUAUAUUUUCUCUGUUUCAGAGCGAAGUAACUGUGGAAAAGAAAUCCAUGCAGGUACUUACAAGCAAGCAGGGAAUCACAAAUAGAUUGAUGUAGCCACCUGCAGUCCUGAUUCAGCCAUGUCAGCACUGGAAAAGGACACGACUGCAUCCAGGUUCUCAGAGUUAACGUUCUUGCUAGCCCUGGGCUGCUCUCCUCUCAAAAUAACCUGUUUUCAGGGUAUCAAACUGCCCAACUCAUCCUAUUUGCAGCAACACAAAGAAUUCUGAUGGUUUUGGUCACAGAAGGGUUUUCUGGAUGCAUUUUAAAGGCAAAUGACCAGGCUCAAUAGAAGUUAACGCGUGCACUUUAAUGACCUCUGAUAUAUAUAAUAAAACUAGAAUAUCUGAUAAUUCCUUUACAAGUUCAAUCUCCUUUCCUCUCCUUAAGAGAAGCCUAUCAGAUCACAUUUGUUUUGGACAACUGAUAUUGUAUUUUGUAACAAAAAAAAAACCCAAAAUCUUCAGCCAUAGCGUCCAUGUACAAUGGUGUGAAUUGCUGCUACAAAUGAACAUUUCCCAAGUGCAGCAGUUUGCAGUGAGAUCACGUGAAUUGUCACUCUCAAAUGGAGCUUCUCUAUCAAUAAAUUUCACCAGGAUCCAUAACUAAUAACUUCAUGAUUUCAAAAUUCUCCUGUUUCAGUCUGGUUUGGAAAAGAAAUACUUUGAAAAGGUGUAUGUUUAAUGGCAUAGCCCCAUCAAGCUCCCAUCCUUAUGGGAUUGUGCAAUGUUUGCUGCCUUGAUUCCUCAAUUUCUAACCAUAGAUUACUGAAAUACCACGUUUUUAGACUGAAAAUGCUACACUUGCUAGUUCAUAAUCUUUCUGUUCAGUAAAACUUGAAACCAAAGAACAAAACAUUGAUUUUUACAGUCAAUCUUAAUUCCUUCCCUAGUUACAUCCCCUUCCACAAACAAAUCGAAAACCUAACAAAGAAACCAACAAAGAAGUACCACCCGGGUACUUGCAUUCAUACUAACCUCAAUAAGUGACAACUUUACAUGCUUCCAUUUCAAUAUUCUGCCUACCCAGCCUAGCUUUGCUGCUUCUAGUUCAAAAUACUUCCUAACUCUGCCACACUUCCAAGUACCUUUCACACAAUCUCUAUUAGCACUUACUUUUUUCACGCUGAGUUUUUGCUCAUCCUGUAGUGACAUAAAGCCCAUAUGACCCCACCAUUUCGGUUUCAGACACAUACAGCCAACAGGACUUUGAAUUCUUUUAAUGUACAAGAUUGAUCACUCUAAGUUGUGCCUUACUGUUGAUACACAGUAAAUACAUUCAUCUGAACAGUUUGCUUAGCAUGAAAAAAACACUAAACAAUUAAAACACUAAAAUAUUACUCAACACUGUUAAUGACACACGCUAUAGCCAGGCACAGAAGAAGACUGUUUCCCAUUAGUCUACCAGUGCAUUCAUUGCUGUGCGUCUCCAUCAGCAGCUGUGUGUAACAGUAGGUUUUAGGUGAAUGCUACUGCUGAAAUAAGAUUUAUCAGCUCUCAUCUUGGCUUUUAGUAGUUACCUUUCCAGAAGAAGUGUUUCUUCUUUCAUUCAUUAUACUACAAACGUUUGCCCUCCGGAGAUGUACUGAACAGAGAGUUUCAAUAACAUUCAAGAAGACUUAAAGAUGAUGCUGGAGAAUUCUAGUCUACUGGUGCAUGCAACUGU